RNAcentral lists this long non-coding RNA (257 nucleotides) under Lathyrus oleraceus (garden pea). Its description in RNAcentral is "Pisum sativum (pea) long non-coding RNA (PSAT_LNC018755)". The record is from RNAcentral. Lineage: Eukaryota; Viridiplantae; Streptophyta; Magnoliopsida; Fabales; Fabaceae.
AACUUUACGGUCUCUCUCAUUAACCCUUCCCAGAACGUCUUCGUCUUCACUGAGCAGAGAGAACAUAUCCUCUUGUCUGUCAACAAUCGGAACAGGAUUACGGGCCGGGGCACGGACUACUCUGGCAUUAGCGGCAUCUGGAACAAUAGGUUGACCGUUGAUUCGAAUACCCCCCAACUCAUCACCUACAGCAUAGUUGUUGACGGGUACAGCAGCAGCAACAUUGUUAUCAUUGACUGGGCCUCCCUCUGGCGGAG